UACAGAGGGUGCAAGCGUUGUUCGGAAUUAUUGGGCGUAAAGCGCGUGUAGGCGGCUUUGCAAGUCGGGUGUGAAAGCCCUCGGCUCAACCGAGGAAGUGCGCCCGAAACUGCAGAGCUUGAGUACCGGAGAGGAUGGCGGAAUUCCCCAAGUAGAGGUGAAAUUCGUAGAUAUGGGGAGGAACACCGGUGGUGAAGGCGGCCAUCUGGACGGAUACUGACGCUGAGACGCGAAAGCGUGGGGAGCAAACAGG
This 253-nucleotide ribosomal RNA is filed under the name uncultured bacterium. RNAcentral's name for it is "partial 16S ribosomal RNA". It matches the Rfam family "Bacterial small subunit ribosomal RNA", at positions 524 to 776 of the family's 1533-position model. The record is from RNAcentral.